RNAcentral lists this ribosomal RNA (474 nucleotides) under uncultured bacterium. Its description in RNAcentral is "bacterial SSU rRNA". It matches the Rfam family "Bacterial small subunit ribosomal RNA", at positions 335 to 801 of the family's 1533-position model. The record is from RNAcentral.
ACUCCUACGGGAGGCAGCAGUAGGGAAUCUUCCACAAUGGGCGCAAGCCUGAUGGAGCAACACCGCGUGAGUGAAGAAGGGUUUCGGCUCGUAAAGCUCUGUUAUUAAAGAAGAACACGUAUGAGAGUAACUGUUCAUACGUUGACGGUAUUUAACCAGAAAGUCACGGCUAACUACGUGCCAGCAGCCGCGGUAAUACGUAGGUGGCAAGCGUUAUCCGGAUUUAUUGGGCGUAAAGAGAGUGCAGGCGGUUUUCUAAGUCUGAUGUGAAAGCCUUCGGCUUAACCGGGAGAAGUGCAUCGGAAACUGGAUAACUUGAGUGCAGAAGAGGGUAGUGGAACUCCAUGUGUAGCGGUGGAAUGCGUAGAUAUAUGGAAGAACACCAGUGGCGAAGGCGGCUACCUGGUCUGCAACUGACGCUGAGACUCGAAAGCAUGGGUAGCGAACAGGAUUAGAUACCCUGGUAGGAUAGCG